RNAcentral lists this ribosomal RNA (374 nucleotides) under uncultured organism. RNAcentral describes it as "bacterial SSU rRNA". It matches the Rfam family "Bacterial small subunit ribosomal RNA", at positions 526 to 896 of the family's 1533-position model. The record is from RNAcentral.
CGGGGGGAGCAAGCGUUGUUCGGAUUUACUGGGCGUAAAGGGCGCGUAGGCGGCCAGCGCAAGUCAGUUGUGAAAUCUCCGGGCUUAACUCGGAAAGGUCAACUGAUACUGCGCGGCUAGAGUGCAGAAGGGGCAACUGGAAUUCUCGGUGUAGCGGUGAAAUGCGUAGAUAUCGAGAGGAACACCUGCGGCGAAGGCGGGUUGCUGGGCUGACACUGACGCUGAUGCGCGAAAGCCAGGGGAGCGAACGGGAUUAGAUACCCCGGUAGUCCUGGCCUUAAACGAUGGAUGCUUGGUGUCUGGAGUUUUAUAGUCUCCGGGUGCCGCAGCUAACGCGUUAAGCAUCCCGCCUGGGGAGUACGGUCGCAAGACUG